Molecule: long non-coding RNA, 4921 nt
Filed under: Trifolium pratense (red clover)
Lineage: Eukaryota; Viridiplantae; Streptophyta; Magnoliopsida; Fabales; Fabaceae
Description: long non-coding RNA (TPRA_LNC003064)
Source: RNAcentral
UGGAAAGUCAAGUUGGUUCUUGUACCAUAAAAUGACUAUCUUUACAUUAAGUAAAUAGGGUCUUAUCAAUGAGGAAACAAGCUGCUUCAUAGUUGAUGCAUAAUUACUGAUUUACUUCAUCAACAAGGCAUGUCAGUCUGUUGAUUAUGGAGCAUUGAACCGAGAAUAGCUACAAAAAUGACCCCCUUUCUUCUUUUCUUUUUUUGAACAGCACAUUAAGUUGGUGAAAAUAGUACAUAUUCAGUCUACUAACAGAGACUAACAAAGCAACAAACCAGGGAAAUACAAACAAAGAGCUACACCAAUGCUCACACUAAAAAACCAGCUACAAACACAGCAAACUACAGGUCACUACUACUUCCAUUCAAAACCAACGCAAAUGAUGGGAUCCACUAACACAUUCACCCCAACAAAAGAUAAAGCACAACUAAAACAAAGCUAAACACGUACUUCACUGUUAUCAGUGUAUAUGUCUGAUUGGCAAUUAUAGUUGCAGACAACAAUUUAGAACUAAAAAGUAGUUUUAGGCCUACCACAUGAUUGCACUGAAUCAAAUUCUCUGAGAUAUGUUUGAAAACCAUUCUUUUUAUCUUUAUAUCUCAGGAAAAAAAAAUCUCUCUCAAAAGCAAAUGGAGUCUCAAAAACUUGAUGUAAUUUUUGUUCCAUUUCCAUCUCCUGGCCAUAUGAUUCCUAUGAUAGACACAGCAAGAAUAUUUGCCAAAAACUUGAUGUACUUGCUACCAUUAUCACUACACAAGCAAAUGCCUUGUUAUUCAAGAAAUCCAUAGACAGCGACAUCAUUUCCGGAUAUUCCAUCAAAAUUGGUUACUUAAUUUCCCAUUACAGAUGCUAUGAAUUUUGAGCUGGUUUAUUAGUAUAUCUCUGCUUAUUUUCAAUUGAUUGAUCAUUGAUAUAGACUUGGCUUCCAAUUAAAAUACAUCUCAAAAGGCGAAUGAUAAAUGAAAACGUGAAGUUAGUAGCUAUGAAGCAUGGACACGACAUAGACACGUCAACAUUGAAAAUAAUUUCAAAGAUGGAAAAUCCUCAGAAAUUAUUGGUAAAAUAAUUCAAGGAAUAUUCAUGCUUCAAGAUCAAAUAGAGAUCCUACUUCAAGAACUUAAACCAGAUUGUAUAGUCUCGGAUAUGGCUUAUCCUCGGACAGUUGAAUCAGCUGCAAAACUAAACAUUCCAAGGAUUUAUUUUUACAGUUCAAGCUACUUCUCCAAUUGUGCAAGCUAUUUUGUUAGAAAGUAUAGAUCUCAUGAUGAUUUAGUUUCUGACACAAAGAAGUUUACUACACCUUGUAUGGCUCACAUCAUUGAGAUGACACCUUUGCAGCUAGCUGAUUGGAUUAGGAACAAGAGUUCAGUCACAUGCAUUUUUUAUACAAUGUUUGAAUCAGAGAAAAAUAGCUAUGGAACACUGUAUAAUAGUUUUCAUGAACUUGAAAGGAAUUAUGAUACCCCUGUUCUGAUCAUAACCUCACUCAAUUUCUUCUAAGUUUUCUAAUUCUGCAUUUUAUUUCUCUUUUAAGAUCUUUACUCUUUCUCUUCUAGUUUUUUAGAUCUCGAAUUCGUAUUUCAUAUCUCAGAUCUUUAGGUUAUCUGCUAGUUCUUGAUUAUUUUGCUGUUUUUAGGUUAUUAUGAACUUGAAUUCACUUUGCAUCUUGAGAUUAUUAUUUUCUCUGUGAAUUAUUCAAUAUUUUCUUGUUUAUAUGUGUUUUAGAUGUUGUUUUCCUUCAGGUUCUUUAUUAUGUUGUUGUUCUUGCAUUGAUAUAUACAUAUAUUAAAACCGAAAUCAGGAUCUAAAUUUCUGGAAUAUUUUGCUAUUUCUUGUUGUUUUCUAGUUUGUUAGAUCUCGAAUUCAUAAUUCAUUUUCAGAUCUUUAGGUUAUCUGCUAGUUCUUGAUUAUUACAAACAGUGAAGAUCAGUGAAGUUACUUGAGUUGAACACCGAAGAAAAUCAACGCUACCGAUCAGAUUGUUUUGGGAGAGAAAGUGAUACCAGCGUGAGAGUUAAGCAAGAAAAGUGAUAAUGUGAGAGAAUUCUUCCAUAUAUAUAUAGCCCUCUUUAUUUAUUUCUAUUUUCAAGUUUUGAUUAAGAUUCAAUUAUACCAAAACGCUAACCAGCAUUAUAAUAACUUAAAAUUAUUAUGUGAUGUGAAUGUGGAUACUAUAUACUAUACUGGUAUCCAGACCCGUGCCAAUCACGGGUAAAAACACGUUUGUAGAUUUAUUGACUUAUAAAUAAUAUACUUUACUUCAAAUUGAAAAAUUAAAAUUUUAAUUGUUAAUAGAAGAUAAUUAACGACAACUACAUAAAUAUUUAUAAUCAUAUAAAAUUUAAUAAUUAAAAUAACACUCUGGAUAAAAAAAAAAACUAACCGUAAAAUUUAUGUAUAGUGUCAUAGAUCUUCUUAAGGAAGAUUCCUAUUGUUAGUAUUUUUUCUUAUCAAAUUAAAAAUAUAUCAUAAUUGUUGUUUAUAUUAUUCUCCACUAAAAGAAUCAUAAAGUUGAUCGAAAUAUAUGGAAGAGACUUUGAGGUUUCGUAAAAAGGCUUUGAGGUGAAUUUGAAUUACAAAAAAAAAGUUUGUGUAACAAUAUAUGAGCAGAAAUAUAGACUACAAUAUAAAUAACAAAAAAUAACCGAUUCCCGUAUUAAUAUUUAAGCAGAAAUAUACAGGUUCCCGUUAAAAGUUAUAAAAUAAAUAGGUCUUCGUAUUAAUAUAUGACUAAAAAUAUAGAAUUUAUAAAAAUUAUAAAAUAAAAAUUACCGUAAAAAAUUAUAAAUAAGUAGGUCUUCAUAUUAAUAUGAGUAAAAAUAUAGAUCUAAGUAUAAAUUAUAAUGUGUAAAAAAAAAGUAGAAAUUAUAAAAUAAAAAAGUCAUUUAUAUUAAUGCAAACGAAGAAAUAUACGUUCCCGUAGAAAUUACAUAAAAAAUAGGCUCCCGUAUUGAUGUAUGAAUUGAAAAUAUGAAAUAUAUGUUCCCUAGAAAAUGUAAAAAAGGUGACUAACUAACUCAUAAAAUCAUAAUAUCUUGCAAAUAAAAUGUAAAAAAGGUGACUAACUAACUCAUAAAAUCAUAUUGAUAGAAAUAUAUGAUUAAAAUGUAUUGUCAUACUAUAAAAAAUAUACCAAAAAUAAAAAAAAAAAGAUUUUGGAAUUGAACAUGUGAAAAAAUAUAUGAACAUAAGAAAAUUGUUUCAACGAUGAAGAAAAAACCAAAAAGAUUUUUAGAAGAAUUUCAAAAUGUAUUUCCUAAUUCCUAAUUAUUCCUGAUAAUGUAUAAAAAUAUGAUACUUAAGAGCAAUAUUUAUAGAAAAAAAAAGCAAUUAAUCAUAUCAAUUAUUCCCUUAAUUCGAGGAAGUAAUUGAAACAAAAAAAAAUCAUAUAUUUCUUAGAGGUGUAUUUGAUUGAGAUUUCAAAGGAUUUUAAAAGAUUUUUUUAUGACAAAAAAAUCUUGAGGUAUUAAAUCAAGAUUUCUACAAAAAUUAAAUAAAUCUUGUGGUAUUCAAUUAAGACAAACAAGAUUUUUUUUUCGGAGCAACAAAAUCUGUUGGUAUUCAAUUGAGAUUUGUUAUUAUUUUCAAAAUGUCUAUUGGUAUUCAAAAGUCUACCGAUUUUGAUGGAUUUUUUUGGAAUGAAUUUUGAGAGACUUUUUAGUUGAAAAUACAAUUGAUAGACUUUUUCAACAAUCUCACCAAAAGCCUUGAGCCUUUUUUGAACGUUCCAAGACUUUUUUCUUUCAUCAUCACUGUAUCAAACUUCUUCUUCUUAUUUAUUACUUUCGUAGUUCAUCAUCAUUGUACCCGGUUUUUUCUUCUUCUUUUCUUUGUUCACUUUUUCAACAAUCUCACUUUUCUUUGAACCACAACUCAUUAUUGAUGAACAAUUUAAAACAUGUGAUAAGAUGAUUGUUAAUACCCUAAUUAUGAAGUUUUCCACCACUAAGCUCAUCCAUACGAAAGAUGUGUGCGAGCACAUUAUGAGAACGAGGGAUAUAAGUAAAGAUUAUUGAGAUUGAUAUGUCUGAAUAUUUUAUUGUGCAUUAUAUUUUGAACAUUAUUUCAUCCUCAUAUGAACCCUUCAUAAUUUCUUAUAACAAACAAGAAAAAAUGUCAAUCAAUGUCUCUUGACCAUAUCAGGAGAGGCUCAAGCCCACGUGCAACAUGGGCAAUGACAAAGGACCUCUUAAAAAUUAUGACCUCAAAAAAUAUUAUAGGGUAUUAGUAAGUUAGAGAGUGUAAAAAUUAUUUAUAUUACAUCGCAUGGCGUAUGGAUGAACAGUUCACUUAUGGGUUGAAAAUUGUGGAUUAAAAUUUUAGAUCACCAAAAAUGUUGUAAAAAAGAGUUGUAAAAAUGAGUUGUAAAAAAGAUCGACGCGCACGAGAGCCACAUGCUGAAGAUGCAAACUGAACAAAAUGGUCACACAGAGUAAUGAAAUCCUUCAAAGGAAUACCAAUCCACGAGCACACUAAAUCCCAAAGUAAAAAAGUUACUUUGAUCUUAAUGUUAAAAAUAAGAAUUUAUAAAUAAAGCUAUUGUUUGGUAAUUUCAAUAUAUUUUUUGGUUUAGACUUUAGAAGUUACUUUUGAAAGGAAAAAAAUUGUUUGGUAGAAUAUUCUUACGAUCUUUAAUGUUUAUAGAGAUAAAUUUAAAUUUUGUAAAAAAAAAAAUCAUAGAUAAUUAUAUUAAAUAAAUAAACAUGACAAAGAACAUUAUACACGUCAGCUUAUCCUAACAAAAAAAAAAUAUUCGUAAAUUGCUUUUCGUGUUUAAAUUAAAACGAAAACAAACACAAACGUUAACAACAACUCUGUUAUUCGCCGCACUGUCUUUUUCCUCGUAUAGCUGCUCCUCUCUCUCAAAACUGCAAAACCCCUUCUUAAUUCUCCAUUUAGCAUCACACAAACCUCUCAAAAC